RNAcentral lists this long non-coding RNA (525 nucleotides) under Malus domestica (apple). RNAcentral's name for it is "long non-coding RNA (MDOM_LNC019080)". Lineage: Eukaryota; Viridiplantae; Streptophyta; Magnoliopsida; Rosales; Rosaceae. The record is from RNAcentral.
AUCUUUCAGGACAAAUGAAUCGAUGUAUGGAUGAUUCUUAUACAUCAAAAGGCAAAGAUACUAAUUAGGACUAUCUCAAUAAACGAUAUAAGUCCUGAAUAGUGAAUCCAUGGACAAUGGAUCGAUUGAAGAAGUAAUCUAAUGAGUUAGACUACAGAGACCUUCUUCACAUAACCAUUAUGUCCAAAAGGUUCCUGGUCGUUGGAUUGUCGGAGGGAUACUGACAAUGCUUAGACCGGUACAUACCUUGUCCGCUUCAAUUGGAAGGAUGGAAAGUCUCAACCCAUUCGUGUUGUGACACUAAGACAAGUAUGUAGGUGCUCAUUAAGGGAAUGAGUUCACUGAACACAAUCGAAUCAGAGUACUUGCAUGGAGGUCUACUCACAUGUCAAGCAAGUAACUCAAAUGGUUGGAAUAAUGUAAGUAAUCCUUAGACCUGAGGCAUCGUCGUUGUCUUGUGGUUAAGUACUUAAUCUUUGAUUAUGUCAACAUCACUCUAUUAGAAUGUCAACGGCAUAGUUGGGG